RNAcentral lists this ribosomal RNA (366 nucleotides) under uncultured Oscillospiraceae bacterium. RNAcentral describes it as "bacterial SSU rRNA". It matches the Rfam family "Bacterial small subunit ribosomal RNA", at positions 28 to 339 of the family's 1533-position model. Lineage: Bacteria; Bacillati; Bacillota; Clostridia; Eubacteriales; Oscillospiraceae. The record is from RNAcentral.
GAUAAACGCUGGCGGCGCACAUAAGACAUGCAAGUCGAACGGAAGUCGUUGUAAUGAUGUUAACAUGAACAGAGAACUUGUUCAAAGGGGAAUGGAGAUUGACUUACAACAAUGGCUUUAGUGGCGGACUGGUGAGUAACACGUAAGCAACCUGCCUAUCAGAGGGGAAUAACAGCGAGAAAUCGUUGCUAAUACCGCAUAUGCCAUAAUGGAGACAUCUCCGUAGUGGGAAAGGAGUAAUCCGCUGAUAGAUGGGCUUGCGUCUGAUUAGCUAGUUGGUGAGGUAACGGCUUACCAAGGCAACGAUCAGUAGCCGGACUGAGAGGUUAAACGGCCACAUUGGGACUGAGAUACGGCCCAGACUCC